ACUCCUACGGGAGGCAGCAGUGGGGAAUUUUGGACAAUGGGGGCGAACCCUGAUCCAGCAAUGCCGCGUGAGUGAAGAAGGCCCUCGGGUUGUAAAGCUCUUUUGUCAGGGAAGAAACGGUGAUCUCUAAUAUAGAUUGCUAAUGACGGUACCUGAAGAAUAAGCACCGGCUAACUACGUGCCAGCAGCCGCGGUAAUACGUAGGGGUGCAAGCGUUAAUCGGAAUUACUGGGCGUAAAGCGUGCGCAGGCGGUUUUGUAAGUCUGAUGUGAAAUCCCCGGGGCUCAACCUGGGAACUGCAUUGGAGACUGCAAGGCUAGAGUGUGUCAGAGGGGGGUAGAAUUCCACGUGUAGCAGUGAAAUGCGUAGAGAUGUGGAGGAAUACCGAUGGCGAAGGCAGCCCCCUGGGAUAACACUGACGCUCAUGCACGAAAGCGUGGGGAGCAAACAGGAUUAGAUACCCUGGUAGCGACUGA
This 476-nucleotide ribosomal RNA is filed under the name uncultured bacterium. RNAcentral describes it as "bacterial SSU rRNA". It matches the Rfam family "Bacterial small subunit ribosomal RNA", at positions 335 to 798 of the family's 1533-position model. The record is from RNAcentral.